This 371-nucleotide ribosomal RNA is filed under the name uncultured bacterium. Its description in RNAcentral is "bacterial SSU rRNA". It matches the Rfam family "Bacterial small subunit ribosomal RNA", at positions 527 to 896 of the family's 1533-position model. The record is from RNAcentral.
GGGGGGGGCAAGCGUUGUUCGGAAUUACUGGGCGUAAAGGGCUCGUAGGCGGCCAACUAAGUCGGAUGUGAAAUCCCCAGGCUCAACCUGGGAACUGCAUCCGAUACUGGAUGGCUUGAAUUCGGGAGAGGGAUGCAGAAUUCCAGGUGUAGCGGUGAAAUGCGUAGAUAUCUGGAGGAAUACCGGUGGCGAAGGCGGCAUCCUGGACCGAGAUUGACGCUGAGGAGCGAAAGCUAGGAGAGCAAACGGGAUUAGAUACCCCGGUAGUCCUAGCCCUAAACGAUGAAUGCUUGGUGUAGCGGGUAUCGAUCCCUGCUGUGCCGAAGCUAACGCAUUAAGCAUUCCGCCUGGGGAGUACGGUCGCAAGGCUG